GUGGAUUCUUUUGGCAAAUCAUGCAGAGCCGGUUCAAGGCCUUAUCCAGCGUUUCUUACGUCGUCGCUUGAUUCAAAGUCAACUGCUGGCUAAAUCACGUGACGGAGCAUUGGAGCGAGUUGUCGAGUGGAUCCCUCGUUGUUGGGCCCACAUGAACAAAUUUCUGGAGACUCACAAUUCGGCUGACGUGACGAUUAGCCCGCGUUGGUUCCUACAGGUCCCAGCUGAUUCGACGUGCUCACAAAUUUGGUUCACCGAUCUUUGGAAUUAUACUUUGGGGCCUUACCUGCUGCACGCAGCUAAAGAAGGGCUUCAGCUCUAUGGAAAACGAGCGCCAUGGGAAGAUCCUACGUCAUAUCCACUUAUCCUUGGGCUCAAGGCAGUGCCUGUGAUGCUCUUAUGCGACUUCGACCUGAAGAUGUUGGUUACGACUCAGCAACAAGAUCAUAUUCUACGAGUACUUCAAACCAGGAUCGAGAUCCAUUGUGCAAAAAUGUUGAACCGAAGAGGCCACAUAUUUGGAUUUGUAUCUGACCUGGGUACACACUCUUUCUUGAUUGUGUGCAAACUGACUAGCCUUAAUUGGACCAGCUAAGGUUACCGGGUCGACGAUUCGCAAGGGUUAACUGAAUAACCACGGCUGACGACACUUCGCCGGAGAUACCGAUGUUUUGUGGAUUAUUCCUUUAUCAACGCACAAGAACCAGCAACAAAAAUGUUUUGCUCGAUUGCCUUGAACCCCACUUGAAACGCUUGAACCACUCUCGAUAGUUGUAAAAAAAGCCUAUUCUUUCUUUACAGUUAUAAAGGAUAUUUCUGGAUUGUGAACUUUCAUGCCAUUAGUUACCACUUCACAUAUGAAAGCAAUCACAGCCUAUGGCACCUAGUAGAGUAAUAACCACUUUAUAAGUGAACAACUUUAUGGAAUUCUCAUUUUUGCUGUCUGCUUCAAAUUGGAUUUUGGAAUCAGUGACAUGUCGGCGAUGAUUGAAGAACAAGUUUCAAAGUGAAUUUGAGCAUUUAAAGUUUUUCAAUCUCCACUAAGUUCCAUUUUUUUUCCAUUGAAUCUGCUGCUGAAAGAGGGAUGAAUGCUUACAAAAAUGUUUUUCUGUGUGUCUUUAUCUGGCAAACUAUAGUCAGUAGAACUAUUGUACAUAACACACACUGCAAAUGCACCAACAGCCAGCUAGAGGGAGAUGGUGGUUUGCAAAGACUGCCUUGUUGAAAGUUCAGUUUCUAAAAUUUGGUCAACAUGUUUUUGGUUGAUAUCCUGAAGCAAGUUAAUAUCCUGAAGCAAGUUAUUAUUUCUUGGUAAUUUUUAUAGGGUCAUUAAUUUUAAUGAUUUCAUUUUUCCAUUAAAAGAUUCAUUCAAGAACAGUCACAAACAAUUGCGCUGUUUUCAACAGUGGAACAAGCAGCCAACACGUAUCCGGGAGCAGUAGUUUAAUAGGGUCCUCCAAUAAAAGCUGGUAUCGAAUUCAUGCGUUCGAGUUUCAACUCCUCUUCCCAGCGCACAUGGAUUGACUGAUGGGCUGAAUUUGACUUGUUGACAUCCAGGUAACUGGGUAAGACACAAGGCAUAGUUCCUUUCAUCCUAUUUUCUUCUCAGCUCUCCUUUUCGUAAAUGGUGAAUUCUUGUUGAAAAACCACUUACUCAUAAACCUCAUCUGAACUAUUAGAAUUUGUUGUUGUCAAUGUCAUUUUGAUUUUUGAAAAAACCGCCAAUUCUUACUUUUCCGGGCACCUAGUAGAGGAAUUCCGUACUGCUUUAUGGAAUCCCGUUUCCCUGUCGUCUGCAGGUCUGCUUCAUUCGUCUCGUGGUUGACUGACUUGUGAGCUCGUGACGUUGUGACUUGUAACAGCAUAACAUUGUGUUAUGUAUGAUUGUAUGGGGGUUUGAAGUUCCAAAGCUGGAUUGCUUGGUAGAUGUAUUCUUAGAAUAUGUGACAUAUUCAUUCCAGUUGAAUCGGGUUGUCAAUGAUGACUCUUGAAGCUUAUAAAGAUUGGGAAACCAUGCUGUCUACCACAUCAUCCACCACAUCCAGAAGCUGAGUAACAUGUACAGUUUUCUUAAUGGCACCUUUUAAAUAUGGAACUUCAGCCAUCCCAUUGUGCAGGCUUUAUGGAAUUGUCGUUUAUCUUAAGCUGUUAACAUAAGUAACAUAUGCACUAAUUGAAGGCUGGUAAGUGGUGAGGUGACAAUCUUAUCCACUUUAGAUUUGAAAUUUAAUGUGUUGUUAAUCUAGAAGUAAAACAUCCAAAGUUUUCAGGAACCAAAAGAUUUCAUUGUCUAGUUUUUUUUGUUGUUGGGAUUUCAUUAAGUUAUCUCAGCUCUUUCCUUUAAUCAUUUAGUUGAGGAUUUUGUAAAUGGAAAUUUGUUGUACACAAGAUAGGUGGUUGCUUAAACAACAUUUGUCUCACUGUAGAGUACUCUAUAAAGGUUGAAAGAAUUUGUACUUGAAUCUUAAAUGAGUUACCCAAUUUCAUGCAAAUUUUUGUGUCAACAAUACCAAGCAGAUUUAACUAUUUGAACCCAUAUAAUUUAGCAAUAUAUAUAUUUUUUUCAUAUA
This is a long non-coding RNA of Daphnia pulex (common water flea), 2570 nucleotides long. RefSeq lists it as uncharacterized. The transcript is spliced from 8 exons. NCBI's taxonomy places the organism in Eukaryota, Metazoa, Arthropoda, Branchiopoda, Diplostraca, Daphniidae. The record is from RefSeq and is a predicted model, not a curated record.